AGAGUUUGAUCAUGGCUCAGAACGAACGCUGGCGGCAGGCUUAACACAUGCAAGUCGAGCGCGUGGCAACACGAGCGGCAGACGGGUGAGUAACGCGUGGGAAUCUACCGGACCCUACGGAAUAACGCAUGGAAACGUGUGCUAAUACCGUAUACGCCCUACGGGGGAAAGAUUUAUCGGGGUUUGAUGAGCCCGCGUUGGAUUAGCUAGUUGGUGGGGUAAAGGCCUACCAAGGCGACGAUCCAUAGCUGGUCUGAGAGGAUGAUCAGCCACAUUGGGACUGAGACACGGCCCAAACUCCUACGGGAGGCAGCAGUGGGGAAUAUUGGACAAUGGGCGCAAGCCUGAUCCAGCCAUGCCGCGUGAGUGAUGAAGGCCCUAGGGUUGUAAAGCUCUUUCACCGGAGAAGAUAAUGACGGUAUCCGGAGAAGAAGCCCCGGCUAACUUCGUGCCAGCAGCCGCGGUAAUACGAAGGGGGCUAGCGUUGUUCGGAAUUACUGGGCGUAAAGCGCACGUAGGCGGACAUUUAAGUCAGGGGUGAAAUCCCGGAGCUCAACUCCGGAACUGCCUUUGAUACUGGGUGUCUUGAGUGUGGAAGAGGUGAGUGGAAUUCCGAGUGUAGAGGUGAAAUUCGUAGAUAUUCGGAGGAACACCAGUGGCGAAGGCGGCUCACUGGUCCAUUACUGACGCUGAGGUGCGAAAGCGUGGGGAGCAAACAGGAUUAGAUACCCCAGUAGUCC
Molecule: ribosomal RNA, 740 nt
Filed under: uncultured bacterium
Lineage: Bacteria
Description: bacterial SSU rRNA
Rfam family: Bacterial small subunit ribosomal RNA
Source: RNAcentral